UUUAUUUUGCCUCGUAGCAAAUAUCGGGGUCUUAGAUCAUAAUUUCUGCUUUUGUCCAACAGCGAUCUUUCUCGCAACUAUCUCAAUGGAUCGAUCCCUGCAGCAUGGGCUUCCCUUCCUCUCACCAAUUUGUCGCUUUUGGGAAAUCACAUUUCUGGAACAAUUCCAAAGGAGCUAGGAAACAUCAUGACACUCAAGUCACUAGUCAUUGAAGUUAACGAGGUCGAAGGACCUCUUCCUCCAGAGCUUGGUAAUUUGCGCAGCUUGGAGAGAUUCCUUGCUUGUUCGAAUAACUUGACAGGAGAAAUACCUGUCACCUUCGGCAACCUGAGAAACUUGACGGACUUAUCCCUGAUUUCAUCGGGAACUGGACACGACUCAAGAGACUGGAUAUGCAAGGCACGUCUAUGACGGGACCUAUUCCUUCUAACAUCUCUUUCUUGGUGAAUCUAACUGAACUGAGGAUAUCUGAUUUGAAUGGAUCGAGCAUGCCUUUCCCUGCAUUGGGGGAUAUGACUAAAAUGCAGAAAUUGGUACUAAGAAAUUGCUUGAUUUCUGACAUAAUCCCACAAUAUAUUGGGACAAUGACAAAUCUGAAAUCCUUAUAACUUACCUUUAACAAUUUGACAGAAGAAAUUCCAAGCAGCUUUUCAAGACUCUCAGCGCUAGAUUAUAUGUAUCUUACUAGCAACAUGCUGACUGGGGUCAUACCCUCUUGGGUCCGAGGUAGCAACCAUUACUUGU
This is an RNA transcript of Magnolia sinica, 744 nucleotides long. It is a transcript of the gene named probable LRR receptor-like serine/threonine-protein kinase At1g53440, with no coding region annotated. The transcript has 10 exons. NCBI's taxonomy places the organism in Eukaryota, Viridiplantae, Streptophyta, Magnoliopsida, Magnoliales, Magnoliaceae. The record is from RefSeq and is a predicted model, not a curated record.